Molecule: ribosomal RNA, 484 nt
Filed under: uncultured bacterium
Lineage: Bacteria
Description: partial 16S ribosomal RNA
Rfam family: Bacterial small subunit ribosomal RNA
Source: RNAcentral
AUUGAACGCUGGCGGAAUGCUUUACACAUGCAAGUCGAGCGGCAGCACGGGGGCAACCCUGGUGGCGAGCGGCGAACGGGUGAGUAAUACAUCGGAACAUGCCCAGUCGUGGGGGAUAACACUUCGAAAGAAGUGCUAAUACCGCAUACGUCCUGAGGGAGAAAGCGGGGGAUCGCAAGACCUCGCGCGAUUGGAGUGGCCGAUGUCAGAUUAGCUAGUUGGUGGGGUAAAGGCCUACCAAGGCAACGAUCUGUAGCUGGCCUGAGAGGAUGAUCAGCCACACUGGGGCUGAGACACGGCCCAGACUCCUACGGGAGGCAGCAGUGGGGAAUUUUGGACAAUGGGGGCAACCCUGAUCCAGCCAUUCCGCGUGAGUGAAGAAGGCCUUCGGGUUGUAAAGCUCUUUCGGCAGGAACGAAACGGCGAGCUCUAACAUAGCUUGCUAAUGACGGUACCUGAAGAAGAAGCACCGGCUAACUACGUG